UCGAGCGGUAACAUUUCUAGCUUGCUAGAAGUAUGACGAGCGGCGGACGGGUGAGUAAUGCUUGGGAAUAUGCCUUAGGGUGGGGGACAACAGUUGGAAACGACUGCUAAUACCGCAUAACGUCUACGGACCAAAGGGGGCUUCGGCUCUCGCCCUUAGAUUAGCCCAAGUGGGAUUAGCUAGUUGGUGAGGUAAUGGCUCACCAAGGCGACGAUCCCUAGCUGGUUUGAGAGGAUGAUCAGCCACACUGGAACUGAGACACGGUCCAGACUCCUACGGGAGGCAGCAGUGGGGAAUAUUGCACAAUGGGCGCAAGCCUGAUGCAGCCAUGCCGCGUGUGUGAAGAAGGCCUUAGGGUUGUAAAGCACUUUCAGUAAGGAGGAAAGGUUAGUAGUUAAUACCUGCUAGCUGUGACGUUACUUACAGAAGAAGCACCGGCUAACUCCGUGCCAGCAGCCGCGGUAAUACGGAGGGUGCGAGCGUUAAUCGGAAUUACUGGGCGUAAAGCGUACGCAGGCGGUUUGUUAAGCGAGAUGUGAAAGCCCCGGGCUCAACCUGGGAACUGCAUUUCGAACUGGCAAACUAGAGUAUGAUAGAGGGUGGUAGAAUUUCAGGUGUAGCGGUGAAAUGCGUAGAGAUCUGAAGGAAUACCGAUGGCGAAGGCAGCCACCUUGGGUCAAUACUGACGCUCAUGUACCAAAGCGUGGGGAGCAACCGGAUUAGAUACCCCGGUAGUCC
Molecule: ribosomal RNA, 738 nt
Filed under: Pseudoalteromonadaceae bacterium pla-1-10-07
Lineage: Bacteria; Pseudomonadati; Pseudomonadota; Gammaproteobacteria; Alteromonadales; Pseudoalteromonadaceae
Description: bacterial SSU rRNA
Rfam family: Bacterial small subunit ribosomal RNA
Source: RNAcentral